RNAcentral lists this ribosomal RNA (1015 nucleotides) under Paenarthrobacter nitroguajacolicus. RNAcentral describes it as "bacterial SSU rRNA". It matches the Rfam family "Bacterial small subunit ribosomal RNA", at positions 64 to 1096 of the family's 1533-position model. The record is from RNAcentral. Lineage: Bacteria; Bacillati; Actinomycetota; Actinomycetes; Micrococcales; Micrococcaceae.
GAACGGUGAUUCCAGCUUGCUGGGGGAUUAGUGGCGACCGGGUGAGUAACACGUGAGUAACCUGCCCUUGACUCUGGGUUAAGCCUGGGAAACUGGGUCUAAUACCGGAUAUGACUGUCUGACGCAUGUCAGGUGGUGUGAAGGUUUUGUGGUUUUGGAUGGACUCGCGGCCUAUCAGCUUGUUGGUGGGGUAAUGGCCUACCAAGGCGACGACGGGUAGCCGGCCUGAGAGGGUGACCGGCCACACUGGGACUGAGACACGGCCCAGACUCCUACGGGAGGCAGCAGUGGGGAAUAUUGCACAAUGGGCGCAAGCCUGAUGCAGCGACGCCGCGUGAGGGAUGACGGCCUUCGGGUUGUAAACCUCUUUCAGUAGGGAAGAAGCGAAAGUGACGGUACCUGCAGAAGAAGCGCCGGCUAACUACGUGCCAGCAGCCGCGGUAAUACGUAGGGCGCAAGCGUUAUCCGGAAUUAUUGGGCGUAAAGAGCUCGUAGGCGGUUUGUCGCGUCUGCUGUGAAAGACCGGGGCUCAACUCCGGUUCUGCAGUGGGUACGGGCAGACUAGAGUGCAGUAGGGGAGACUGGAAUUCCUGGUGUAGCGGUGAAAUGCGCAGAUAUCAGGAGGAACACCGAUGGCGAAGGCAGGUCUCUGGGCUGUAACUGACGCUGAGGAGCGAAAGCAUGGGGAGCGAACAGGAUUAGAUACCCUGGUAGUCCAUGCCGUAAACGUUGGGCACUAGGUGUGGGGGACAUUCCACGUUUUCCGCGCCGUAGCUAACGCAUUAAGUGCCCCGCCUGGGGAGUACGGCCGCAAGGCUAAAACUCAAAGGAAUUGACGGGGGCCCGCCCAAGCGGCGGUGCAAUGCGGGUUAAUUUUAUGCAACGCGAAGAACCUUACCAAGGCUUGACAUGAACCGGAAAGACUUGGAAACAGKGCCCCGCUUGCGGUCGGUUUACAGGUGGUGCAUGGUGUCGUCAGCUCGKGUCGUGAGAUGUGGGUUAGUCCCSCAACGAG